ACGAAGCAAUUUCUCACGAUCCCUUCGGGGUGACGAGUUAUUGACUGAGUGGCGGACGGGUGAGUAACGCGUGGGUAACCUACCUUGUACAGGGGGACAACAGUUGGAAACGACUGCUAAUACCGCAUAAGCGCACAGCAUCGCAUGAUGCAGUGUGAAAAGUUUUUUCGGUACAAGAUGGACCCGCGUCUGAUUAGCUAGUUGGUGAGGUAACGGCCCACCAAGGCGACGAUCAGUAGCCGACCUGAGAGGGUGACCGGCCACAUUGGGACUGAGACACGGCCCAAACUCCUACGGGAGGCAGCAGUGGGGAAUAUUGCACAAUGGGCGCAAGCCUGAUGCAGCGACGCCGCGUGAGCGAAGAAGUAUUUCGGUAUGUAAAGCUCUAUCAGCAGGGAAGAUAAUGACGGUACCUGACUAAGAAGCACCGGCUAAAUACGUGCCAGCAGCCGCGGUAAUACGUAUGGUGCAAGCGUUAUCCGGAUUUACUGGGUGUAAAGGGAGCGUAGGCGGUUUUACAAGUCUGAUGUGAAAGCCCGGGGCUCAACUCCGGUAUUGCAUUGGAAACUGUAGAACUAGAGUGUCGGAGGGGUAAGUGGAAUUCCUAGUGUAGCGGUGAAAUGCGUAGAUAUUAGGAGGAACACCAGUGGCGAAGGCGGCUUACUGGACGAUUACUGACGCUGAGGCUCGAAAGCGUGGGGAGCAAACAGGAUUAGAUACCCUGGUAGUCCACGCCGUAAACGAU
This 745-nucleotide ribosomal RNA is filed under the name uncultured bacterium. RNAcentral's name for it is "bacterial SSU rRNA". It matches the Rfam family "Bacterial small subunit ribosomal RNA", at positions 53 to 810 of the family's 1533-position model. The record is from RNAcentral.